GACGAACGCUGGCGGCAUGCCUAAUACAUGCAAGUCGAGCGAACAGAUGAAGUGCUUGCACUUCUGACGUUAGCGGCGAACGGGUGAGUAACACGUAAGGAAUCUACCUAUAAGCGGGGGAUAACAUUCGGAAACGGGUGCUAAUACCGCAUAAUAUCUUCUUCCGCAUGGAAGAAGAUUGAAAGACGGCUCUGCUGUCACUUAUAGAUGACCUUGCGGUGCAUUAGUUAGUUGGUGGGGUAAUGGCCUACCAAGACGAUGAUGCAUAGCCGACCUGGGAGGGGGAUCGGCCACAUUGGGACUGGGAAACGGCCCAAACGCCUACGGGAGGAAGCAGUAGGGAAUCUUCCGCAAUGGGCGAAAGCCUGACGGAGCAAUGCCGCGUGAGUGAAGAAGGCCUUCGGGUCGUAAAACUCUGUUAUAAGAGAAGAACAAAUUGUAGAGUAACUGCUACAGUCUUGACGGUAUCUUAUCAGAAAGCCACGGCUAACUACGUGCCAGCGGCCGCCGUAA
Molecule: ribosomal RNA, 513 nt
Filed under: uncultured bacterium
Lineage: Bacteria
Description: partial 16S ribosomal RNA
Rfam family: Bacterial small subunit ribosomal RNA
Source: RNAcentral